UUAAAGCACCUCGCUUACAUCGAGAGAAUACUUGUGAAAAUCAAGUUAUUUCGA
RNAcentral lists this transfer RNA (54 nucleotides) under Paratelmatobius cf. segallai MTS-2020. RNAcentral's name for it is "partial tRNA-Val". Lineage: Eukaryota; Metazoa; Chordata; Amphibia; Anura; Leptodactylidae. The record is from RNAcentral.